CACUUACAUUAUCUUCUUGUUCAACACUCUUACUCUUCAUUUGAAACAAAAGCUUUUAAUUCUUUAAUUUCAUCUCUCAACUCUUGGACUUGAAUUUGCAAGUUAUGAUUGUGCACCAAAGCACUCAACUUUGAAGGAGUCUCACCGAAACCAAGACCUCUUACCCUUCCUCGACGUUCAGGACCAAGUACUCUAGCAACACCAUCAUCUUUAAGGGAGUGUUGGCUAGGAGAGGUAAUCAUCUCUGAACAUGCUUUUAUUUUGUUCUAAUAUUAGGAAAUAAAUUAAUGGGCUAAAAUUAUAAAUAUAAGCUUUGAAUGACCAAAAAUCACGAAAAGCAAUAUUGUUACCAUUGUUUCCCCAGCUGAUUCAUUAAUAGGUUCACCAUUUUUUCGCGUAUGCCAUCGAAUAUAAACAUCAUCUCUCAUUAUGGAAUCUGGGUCUUCACUUUCGGCACGUUGCAUUUCACUUAUUUCAUAUAUGUAAUAACGUAAACGUUUAUAAUUCGUCAAGCAAAUUUAACUUUAAAUUUAACAAUUUUUUACCAUUUCAACUUCUAAACGAGCAAAGCCCUUUCUACUUGUUGUAUGCAUUAAGGUUUGACCUGCUCUCAUCUUUCUGAAUCUUUCACUUUUUUCCUACAACAUCAAUUAGUAAUGUGUAAAAAUUAUUUUUAUUAGGAAUAUAGAGCAGAUGCAGUAAGCAAUUUAGGAAAAAGUAAUGACAGCUUGCCUUAUACUGUUGAGAAUUGCGCUCUUUGACAAAUGCUUGUCAUUCUUCCAUUGAUUCAACAUUAUUGGGCUUGAGGAGAGCAACAGCUCAUGUUAUGCCAAUUGUUUUUCCUUUUUUAUUGAUUACU
Molecule: long non-coding RNA, 859 nt
Filed under: Olea europaea subsp. europaea
Lineage: Eukaryota; Viridiplantae; Streptophyta; Magnoliopsida; Lamiales; Oleaceae
Source: RNAcentral